UCCGUAGGUGAACCUGCGGAAGGAUCAUUAGUGAAACACCGGAUUCCUCUGCAAAGAGAAGGUCCGACCCACUAUCACACACACUUGUGCACUUGUCAUUUUUUACAAAUCCAUUUUGUAUACACUUUUGCAUUUUGGAGGUUGAUUGAAACCAAUUUAAACGAAAGAAAAACUUUCAGCAAUGGAUCUCUUGGCUCUCGCAUCGAUGAAGAACGCAGCGAAACGCGAAAUGUAAUGUGAAUUGCAGAAUUCAGUGAAUCAUCGAAUCUUUGAACGCACCUUGCGCUCCAGGGUCAUUCCUUGGAGCAUGCUUGUUUGAGUGUCUAGUACCCCUCUCCACCCCGCCCUGUUACAGGGUUGCUCGGGCUGGGAUCAUGGACGCUUUGUCGGCUUUGGCCGACUGCGCUGAAAUUGAACAAGCUGAACCCACCUUGCGGCUUGACCUGUUGUUGUAAACUAAAUUCAAUGGGAACGCGAGCGAGGGACGAGCUUACCAGAACCGCCUUCGGGCACAGUGCAUUUUGACCUCAAAUCAAGUAGGACUACCCGCUGAACUUAAGCAUAUCAAUAAGCGGAGGA
Molecule: ribosomal RNA, 579 nt
Filed under: Ballistosporomyces xanthus
Lineage: Eukaryota; Fungi; Basidiomycota; Agaricostilbomycetes; Agaricostilbales; Chionosphaeraceae
Description: eukaryotic LSU rRNA
Rfam family: 5.8S ribosomal RNA (bases 171-325)
Source: RNAcentral